This 254-nucleotide ribosomal RNA is filed under the name uncultured bacterium. Its description in RNAcentral is "partial 16S ribosomal RNA". It matches the Rfam family "Bacterial small subunit ribosomal RNA", at positions 524 to 776 of the family's 1533-position model. The record is from RNAcentral.
GACGUAGGGCGCGAGCGUUGUCCGGAUUUAUUGGGCGUAAAGAGCUCGUAGGCGGCUUGUCGCGUCGACUGUGAAAACCCAUGGCCCAACCAUGCGGUCUGCAGUCGAUACGGGCAGGCUAGAAUUCGGUAGGGGAGACUGGAAUUCCUGGUGUAGCGGUGAAAUGCGCAGAUAUCAGGAGGAACACCGGUGGCGAAGGCGGGUCUCUGGGCCGAUAUUGACGCUGAGGCGCGAAAGCGUGGGGAGCAAACAGG